AGUCGUAACAAGGUUUCCGUAGGUGAACCUGCGGAAGGAUCAUUACUGAUUUGCUUAAUUGCACCACAUGUGUUUUUCUUUGAAACAAACUUGCUUUGGCGGUGGGCCCAGCCUGCCGCCAGAGGUCUAAACUUACAACCAAUUUUUUAUCAACUUGUCACACCAGAUUAUUACUAAUAGUCAAAACUUUCAACAACGGAUCUCUUGGUUCUCGCAUCGAUGAAGAACGCAGCGAAAUGCGAUACGUAAUAUGAAUUGCAGAUAUUCGUGAAUCAUCGAAUCUUUGAACGCACAUUGCGCCCUCUGGUAUUCCGGAGGGCAUGCCUGUUUGAGCGUCGUUUCUCCCUCAAACCGCUGGGUUUGGUGUUGAGCAAUACGACUUGGGUUUGCUUGAAAGACGGUAGUGGUAAGGCGGGAUCGCUUUGACAAUGGCUUAGGUCUAACCAAAAACAUUGCUUGCGGCGGUAACGUCCACCACGUAUAUCUUCAAACUUUGACCUCAAAUCAGGUAGGACUACCCGCUGAACUUAAGCAUAUCAAUAAGCGGAGGAA
RNAcentral lists this unclassified non-coding RNA (552 nucleotides) under Candida albicans. RNAcentral's name for it is "sequence contains 18S rRNA gene, ITS1, 5.8S rRNA gene, ITS2, 28S rRNA gene". The stretch from base 185 to 338 matches the Rfam family "5.8S ribosomal RNA". Lineage: Eukaryota; Fungi; Ascomycota; Pichiomycetes; Serinales; Debaryomycetaceae. The record is from RNAcentral.